GACGAACGCUGGCGGCGUGCUUAACACAUGCAAGUCGAACGGAAAGGCCUGCUUUCCCUUGUGGAUUGCGGGUACUCGCGUGGCGAACGGGUGAGUAACACGUGAGUGAUCUGCCCCCAACUUGGGUAUAAGCCUGGGAAACUGGGUCUAAUUCCCGAUAGGACUGCAGGGUGGUGCCUGUGGUGGAAAAGGAUUUUCUAGUGGUUGGGGAUGAGCUCGCGGCCUAUCAGCUUGUUGGUGGGGUAAUGGCCUACCAAGGCGGCGACGGGUAGCCGGCCUGGGGGGGUGGACGGCCACAGUGGGACUGAGAUACGGCCCAGAAUCCUACGGGAGGCAGCAGUGGGGAAUAUUGCACAAUGGGCGGAAGCCUGAUGCAGCGACGCCGCGUGGGGGAUGACGGCCUUCGGGUUGUAAACUCCUUUCGACCGCGAGGAAGCCACCUGGUUGGAAGGGUGGUGACGGUAGUGGUAGAAGAAGCACCGGCUAACUACGUG
This 494-nucleotide ribosomal RNA is filed under the name uncultured bacterium. RNAcentral describes it as "partial 16S ribosomal RNA". It matches the Rfam family "Bacterial small subunit ribosomal RNA", at positions 28 to 507 of the family's 1533-position model. The record is from RNAcentral.